GAUGAACGCUGGCGGCGUGCCUAAUACAUGCAAGUCGAGCGAACAGAUGAGGAGCUUGCUCCUCUGACGUUAGCGGCGGACGGGUGAGUAACACGUGGAUAACCUACCUAUAAGACUGGGAUAACUUCGGGAAACCGGAGCUAAUACCGGAUAAUAUAUUGAACCGCAUGGUUCAAUAGUGAAAGACGGUUUUGCUGUCACUUAUAGAUGGAUCCGCGCCGCAUUAGCUAGUUGGUAAGGUAACGGCUUACCAAGGCAACGAUGCGUAGCCGACCUGAGAGGGUGAUCGGCCACACUGGAACUGAGACACGGUCCAGACUCCUACGGGAGGCAGCAGUAGGGAAUCUUCCGCAAUGGGCGAGAGCUUGACGGAGCAACGCCGCGUGAGUGAUGAAGGUCUUCGGAUCGUAAAACUCUGUUAUUAGGGAAGAACAAAUGUGUAAGUAACUAUGCACGUCUUGACGGUACCUAAUCAGAAAGCCACGGCUAACUACGUG
RNAcentral lists this ribosomal RNA (497 nucleotides) under uncultured bacterium. RNAcentral's name for it is "partial 16S ribosomal RNA". It matches the Rfam family "Bacterial small subunit ribosomal RNA", at positions 28 to 507 of the family's 1533-position model. The record is from RNAcentral.